RNAcentral lists this transfer RNA (65 nucleotides) under Tonkinacris sinensis. RNAcentral describes it as "tRNA-Cys". The record is from RNAcentral. Lineage: Eukaryota; Metazoa; Arthropoda; Insecta; Orthoptera; Acrididae.
GGCUUUAUAUUCAAUUAUGAUUUUAGACUGCAAUUCUAGGGGUGUAAAUAAAUUUACUAAGGCCU